Anas platyrhynchos (mallard) is the source of this 1736-nucleotide long non-coding RNA. RefSeq lists it as uncharacterized. NCBI's taxonomy places the organism in Eukaryota, Metazoa, Chordata, Aves, Anseriformes, Anatidae. The record is from RefSeq and is a predicted model, not a curated record.
CAGAAAAGCUGCCUGGGAUUCACCACCACAUGUGAAGAUUAUAUCUCAAAUGCACAAGGUGCUUCUAAAGGACUGUUUAGCAAAAUGGCUUCAGGGUGCCACAAAGCUGGUGGCUGUUCUGCUAAGGUGGCAGAAGAAAUGAAGGGCAGCACUGUGUUACAUCUGAUUGGUACAUACAUGUUAGGGUGCCCAGCAGCUGUUCCUGUGAGAUGUUAUCAGUGCAUUAAUGGAGGUCGCAGACUGGGAGAAUGUUUGGGGGGCAUUAGGCUGAACAAAUUGAAGCCUAGGAAUUUAGGAAUCACUGAACUGUAGGGGUUGGAAGGGACAUCGAAAGAUCAUUGGGUCCAACCCCCGGACACUAAGGACAUCUGAAAAGCUCUUCCAUGAAAACAGAGGAAGACUGUACUGAGGGCAAACACUGGAUUUCUGGCAGAGGGAGUUGUGGAGAAGAGUCUUCAGAGGAGAAGAAAGAGCACCAGGGCAACCUUCCACACUGCUGCUCUGCUUGGUGACUUAUUACAACACGCUUCUGCAACUGGUGACGUGGUGUUUUUCUGGAGAUUAAGGACUGUGACUGAGCAGAAUGGGGCCCAACUACAUCCCAGGAUCCAAAGCAGCAUCUUUGGAGGAGUAGUUCUUUCCUGAAGUAUGCAGGACUAUGGCAAUUUCCGUCAGAGCUGACCUUUGCACUUUUUCUUCUCAGAUCUGAAAUAAGUGUCCUUUUCAUUGCUAAGAUCUUGGCAGACAGACCACAGGGUAGCAGAUGAACCGUUUCCCAUAGAGUGUUAAAUUGUCUGAUGGCAAAUCUGAAAAUUCAGCUUGCAUCUGCAAUUCUGCAUUGUGCAAUACACAUCUUUAAUCAUCUCAUGAAAUUCUCAAAGCAGAGUUUUGGCGUUACUUGCAAAAUCCAAUUAACUCAGCCUGAUCCUGGGGUACCUUUACCCAUAUGAUCAAGGGAUGUCUCAUCCCCAGCUGUACCCAGAUCUGACACUGACUGGCAUCGGGAUUUUGAGUUGAUGGAUGAAACCUGGCUAGGAGCAAAGCAGAAUGAUUCCCCCAUAGCUUCCUCAUGUUAGCAUACGCAAACUGUAAUUCUAGUGAGACUAAAGUUUCCCUUUGAGAAAAGGGCAUUGUUCUAAGCCAGUCCCACUGUACCUAUUAAUUUCUAAAAAAUAGAUGAAGCUGAACUCUUUUUUUUUUUUUUUUUUUCAAGUGACCCUUUCCCAGUUACAGCAGCAUAUGCACAGCCUUUCCUGCCAAGCUUUUAGCUUUUUUUUUUUUUUUUUUUUUCUCCUCUCUAAUUGGCCUACCUAGGGGUUGAAUAAUCUGACAGUUUAUAUUUCCUGUGUUUAAAUUCUGCUGCAGGUGAUGGGCAACCAUUUUACAGUGUGUUUUGUAUCACUGCUGGAAUAACUGGGCAGGUUCUGAAGGUCCUCAAGCACACUGGGGAACCAGCUCACCUUGCACUGUAGCAAAGAAAUAGCAAUUAUCCAUUGUUUAAGCUGCAGGCAGAAAUGAUAAAUAAAUACAGAAAAAUGAAAACAUGCAAAAGCUCCACAAAGCUCAUGGAAAACUUUUUUUAAAAGAGCAGAUUGGUAAAAGAGUACCACCUCCCUCCAGUGCUAAACAGAGCGAGAGAGCACAUCUUAAGGGUUGUAAUACUUUUGGAGAAAUAAAAUGCAUUGUGAUUGGGAUAAUAGAGAACAUCACACAAUGACUUUCUGUGAGUCUGUGAU